RNAcentral lists this ribosomal RNA (527 nucleotides) under uncultured bacterium. RNAcentral's name for it is "bacterial SSU rRNA". It matches the Rfam family "Bacterial small subunit ribosomal RNA", at positions 8 to 518 of the family's 1533-position model. The record is from RNAcentral.
AGAGUUGAUCAUGGCUCAGAACGAACGCUGGUAGCGUGGAUUAGGCAUGCAAGUCGGACGGGAUCGGCCGGUUAGCAAUAAUGGCCGUGAGAGUGGCGGAUGGGGAGGAACACGUGAGCAACCUGCCCCUGGGACGGGGAAAACCGUUGGAAACGACGGCUAAUACCGGAUGCGGCGCCCGAGGACAUCCUCGGAGCGUCAAAGGGGGCCGCAAGGCUCCCGCCCUGGGAGGGGCUCGCGCACCAUCAGCUUGUUGGCGGGGUAACGGCCCACCAAGGCCUACGGUUAGCUGGUCUGAGAGGAUGACCAGCCCCACUGGGACUGAGAUACUGCCCAGACUCCUACGGGAGGCUGCAGUCGAGGAUCAUUUGCAAUGGGCGAAAGCCUGACAAUGCGACGCUGCGUGGAGGAUGAAGGCCUUCGGGUCGUAAACUCCUGUCAUGGGGAACAGGCGAGGGGGCCCAACACGCCCCUUAGUUGAGUGUACUCCAAGAGGAAGGGACGGCUAACUCUGUGCCAGCCGCCGC